UUAUUAACCAACUAAGUACAUUAUUGCCAAAAAUGACUGGUUAUUAAAAAUAACACAUUUUCUGUAAUGGCCCUGUUUUUUCUGUAAUGGCCCUGUUUUUUCUGUAAUGGCCCUGUUUUUCUGUAAUGGCCCUGUUUUUUUCUGUAAUGGCCCUGUUUUUUUUUGUAAUGGCCCUGUAUUGAUGCCCAGUUUGUCUGUAUAAAGCACAGUUAGGGUUUUUAAUAAAGUUAAUAAAAUUAAGUUGUACUGAAAGAGUAUAAUACUUUUUUGUAUUUUAUUUAAUUUAGUAACCAGCAACCAACAUUAAAGAACCAUAUAUAGGGAUCACUGUUCCUCCUGUUUUUCAACACAUAACUUCUGUCA
RNAcentral lists this long non-coding RNA (363 nucleotides) under Mytilus galloprovincialis (Mediterranean mussel). Lineage: Eukaryota; Metazoa; Mollusca; Bivalvia; Mytilida; Mytilidae. The record is from RNAcentral.